AGUGUAGGCGGUUUGACAAGUCGGGUGUGAAAUCCCAGGGCCCAACCCUGGAACUGCAUCCGAUACUGUCAGGCUAGAGUCCCGGAGAGGGUGGCGGAAUUCCCGGUGUAGGGGUGAAAUCCGUAGAUAUCGGGAGGAACACCAGUGGCGAAGGCGGCCACCUGGACGGUGACUGACGCUGAGACUCGAAAGUGUGGGUAGCAAACAGGAUUAGAUACCCUGGUAGUCC
This 229-nucleotide ribosomal RNA is filed under the name uncultured bacterium. Its description in RNAcentral is "partial 16S ribosomal RNA". It matches the Rfam family "Bacterial small subunit ribosomal RNA", at positions 568 to 796 of the family's 1533-position model. The record is from RNAcentral.